AUUGAACGCUGGCGGCAGGCCUAACACAUGCAAGUCGAAUGGUAACAGGAAACAGCUUGCUGUUGCGCUGACGAGUGGCGGACGGGUGAGUCAUGUCUGGGAAACUGCCUGAUGGAGGGGGAGAACUACUGGAAACGGUAGCUAAUACCGCAUAACGUCGCAAGCCCAAAGAGGGGGACCUUCGGGCCUCUUGCCAGCAGAUGUGCCCAGAUGGGAUUAGCUAGUAGGUGGGGUAACGGCUCACCUAGGCGACGAUCCCUAGCUGGUGUGAGAGGAUGACGGGCCACACGGGAACUGAGCCGCGGUCCAGGCUCCUACGGGAGGCAGCAGUGGGCAAUAUUGCACAAUGGGCGCAAGCCUGAUGCAGCCAUGCCACGUGUGUGAAGAAGGCCUUCGGGUUGUAAAGUACUUUCAGCGGGGAGGAAGGGAGUAAAGCUAAUAACAAUGCUCAUUGACGUUACCCGCAGAAGAAGCGCCGGCUAACUCCGUG
Molecule: ribosomal RNA, 490 nt
Filed under: uncultured bacterium
Lineage: Bacteria
Description: partial 16S ribosomal RNA
Rfam family: Bacterial small subunit ribosomal RNA
Source: RNAcentral